Molecule: transfer RNA, 73 nt
Filed under: Parachlamydiaceae bacterium
Lineage: Bacteria; Pseudomonadati; Chlamydiota; Chlamydiia; Parachlamydiales; Parachlamydiaceae
Description: tRNA-Asp
Rfam family: tRNA
About the family: Transfer RNA (tRNA) molecules are approximately 80 nucleotides in length. Their secondary structure includes four short double-helical elements and three loops (D, anti-codon, and T loops).
Source: RNAcentral
GCGGGAGUAGUUCAAUGGUUAGAGCACUAGCUUGUCACGCUAGAAGUUGCGGGUUCGAGUCCCGUCUCCCGCG